UACGAAGGGAGCUAGCGUUGUUCGGAAUCACUGGGCGUAAAGCGCGCGUAGGCGGCUUUGCAAGUCAGAGGUGAAAUCCCACAGCUUAACUGUGGAACUGCCUUUGAAACUGCAAGGCUAGAAUGUGAGAAGGGAUGGCGGAAUUCCUAAUGUAGAGGUGAAAUUCGUAGAUAUUAGGAGGAACACCUGUGGCGAAAGCGGCCAUCUGGAUCACAAUUGACGCUGAAGUGCGAAAGCGUGGGUAGCAAAC
Molecule: ribosomal RNA, 250 nt
Filed under: uncultured bacterium
Lineage: Bacteria
Description: partial 16S ribosomal RNA
Rfam family: Bacterial small subunit ribosomal RNA
Source: RNAcentral